RNAcentral lists this ribosomal RNA (465 nucleotides) under uncultured Bacillus sp. RNAcentral's name for it is "bacterial SSU rRNA". It matches the Rfam family "Bacterial small subunit ribosomal RNA", at positions 338 to 795 of the family's 1533-position model. The record is from RNAcentral. Lineage: Bacteria; Bacillati; Bacillota; Bacilli; Caryophanales; Bacillaceae.
CCUACGGGUGGCUGCAGUAGGGAAUCUUCCGCAAUGGACGAAAGUCUGACGGAGCAACGCCGCGUGAACGAUGAAGGCUUUCGGGUCGUAAAGUUCUGUUGUUAGGGAAGAACAAGUACCGGAGUAACUGCCGGUACCUUGACGGUACCUAACCAGAAAGCCACGGCUAACUACGUGCCAGCAGCCGCGGUAAUACGUAGGUGGCAAGCGUUGUCCGGAAUUAUUGGGCGUAAAGCGCGCGCAGGCGGUUCCUUAAGUCUGAUGUGAAAGCCCCCGGCUCAACCGGGGAGGGUCAUUGGAAACUGGGGAACUUGAGUGCAGAAGAGGAGAGCGGAAUUCCACGUGUAGCGGUGAAAUGCGUAGAGAUGUGGAGGAACACCAGUGGCGAAGGCGGCUCUCUGGUCUGUAACUGACGCUGAGGCGCGAAAGCGUGGGGAGCGAACAGGAUUAGAUACCCUGGUAGUC